This 223-nucleotide long non-coding RNA is filed under the name Homo sapiens (human). RNAcentral's name for it is "HSALNT0137639". Lineage: Eukaryota; Metazoa; Chordata; Mammalia; Primates; Hominidae. The record is from RNAcentral.
CGAGACCCCACCUGGGCAACGUGGCGGAGUUCAUUCCUGACUUAGGGCCUCAUCUAGUGUCAGUGCCUGGACUUCCCUUCACACAUAACUUCCCAGGGCUUCCUCCUUCCUGUGACUCCACAAUAGCCCUCUGCCCAGCAAUUGGUCACCCUCUGUACAUCACUUUGAGUCCAUUUUGUCAAACAAUUUCUAUGUGAAACACGCUGAUUUAUUUGUACAUGUC